Myodes glareolus (Bank vole) is the source of this 853-nucleotide long non-coding RNA. RefSeq lists it as uncharacterized. NCBI's taxonomy places the organism in Eukaryota, Metazoa, Chordata, Mammalia, Rodentia, Cricetidae. The record is from RefSeq and is a predicted model, not a curated record.
GAAAUCAUCACUUGGCUUCUAGGUCAAGGGAUCAGAAUGCUGUAUUGUUGGCCAGAUUGUGCACUAGCAGAAUCUAGCGCAGCUAGCUGGGAUACUGUGUGACUUUCUGGACAGGGAUUCAUUUCUCUGAACUUCACUUCUGCCUAUUGUCCAGUGUAACUAGUAGGUUGUGUUCUGCAGAAAGAAUCCAGGGGGUUAAAAGCCCACUGGCAUCAUCUUGUCCUAUGCGUUUGGUGAAUGUCUACUCAUCUCUGAACCCCACGAGGAGCCUUCAUUUAAAUUUCCAUUUUAUAGAUGAGGAAACUUAGAUACCGAGGACUGAAGCCACUUGUCCCAGGCCAUCCCAUUGACAUUUAACAUCGCCAUUUAAGGAAAGGGUCUGGCUGCCUGCCUGCCCUUGAGCUGUCUCCCCAACAUAGCUGUGGAUCCUCCAGAAUGAGCCAUCUCUGAGACUGGGAUUCCCAGGAGCUAUGGAGUCAGUCCUGGAACUCACUCUGACCAAGCUGGCCUUGACUUCAUAGAAAUCCUCUUGCCUCUGCCUCCUGAGUGAUCAGAUUAAAGGUGUGUGCCAACACUCAGCUUUCAGUGCAAGCUCUGGGGAUGUGCAAUGGAUGCUUAUGCUUGCACAGUAAAUAUUGGUAUCAACGAGCCAUCACUUUAAAUCAAUAAAUCACUUUUAAUUAAAAAAUUUAGUUUAAGAAUUCCUAGUAUUAGAAUCUGGGACUGCCACUCACAUAUUUUUUUUUAAUCUCAGUUUCUUCCUCAAUCAAAUGGUUAUUUCAGCAUGUUUCCUCAUUAUUGUGUAUGGUCCCAAUGCCACUCAGUGCUUUUUCAGUAUACAUUAGAAUGCUGG